RNAcentral lists this transfer RNA (64 nucleotides) under Fasciolopsis buskii. RNAcentral describes it as "Fasciolopsis buski tRNA-Phe". Lineage: Eukaryota; Metazoa; Platyhelminthes; Trematoda; Plagiorchiida; Fasciolidae. The record is from RNAcentral.
UCCUUUCUAGCUUAAGUUUAAAGUGAUAGUUUGAAGAGCUAUAGUUACGUGAAUGUGGUAGGAG